Molecule: unclassified non-coding RNA, 369 nt
Filed under: uncultured bacterium
Lineage: Bacteria
Description: contains 16S-23S intergenic spacer region
Source: RNAcentral
UCUGCGUUUAGACAGCCGUAUUCCUAAUGUACAAUUAUUAACAUUUAGUAGUUAGGAAAAAGGGUUGCGCUCGUUGUCCAAAUCCAAUUGACCACUUUACAGCACGAGCUGACGGCAGCCAUGCAACACCUGUAUUCACAAUUAAAAUUAAUUAAAUAUAAUUAAUUCAAUGAAUAUACAAAAGCUGGUAAGAUUUUUUGCGGAGUGUCUAAUUAACAUACAUGCUCCACCGCUCGUAAAUGCUCCCGUCAAUCUUCUUGAGUUUCAACCUUGCGAUUGUAAUCCCCAGGCGGAAUAUUUAACGCGUUAGCUUUGGUAACUGAGUAAAAAACCCAAUUCAUAAUAUUCAUCGUUCGCAGUGUAGACUAC